GAGCCGGUAGCUCAGCUGAAUAGAGCUCCUGCCUUCUAAGCAGGUGGUCGUGGGUUUGAAUCCCGCCCGGCUCACCU
RNAcentral lists this transfer RNA (77 nucleotides) under Sphingobacteriales bacterium 50-39. RNAcentral describes it as "tRNA-Arg". It matches the Rfam family "tRNA". From Rfam's summary of the family: Transfer RNA (tRNA) molecules are approximately 80 nucleotides in length. Their secondary structure includes four short double-helical elements and three loops (D, anti-codon, and T loops). Further hydrogen bonds mediate the characteristic L-shaped molecular structure. tRNAs have two regions of fundamental functional importance: the anti-codon, which is responsible for specific mRNA codon recognition, and the 3' end, to which the tRNAs corresponding amino acid is attached (by aminoacyl-tRNA synthetases). tRNAs cope with the degeneracy of the genetic code in two manners: having more than one tRNA (with a specific anti-codon) for a particular amino acid; and 'wobble' base-pairing, i.e. permitting non-standard base-pairing at the 3rd anti-codon position. Lineage: Bacteria; Pseudomonadati; Bacteroidota; Sphingobacteriia; Sphingobacteriales. The record is from RNAcentral.